This 1244-nucleotide long non-coding RNA is filed under the name Olea europaea (common olive). Its description in RNAcentral is "long non-coding RNA (OEUR_LNC013935)". Lineage: Eukaryota; Viridiplantae; Streptophyta; Magnoliopsida; Lamiales; Oleaceae. The record is from RNAcentral.
UUUUCUCUCCUUCAAACCCCUACACCAUCUCUAUUUCCCCCACCUCCAUCCCCUGCACCAGCAUCACUGCCGCGGGAAAGCACAACCCUUAAUCACGGCACCAGCAACUCCUCCUUACCCACCAAAAUCAUCAAGGCCAUCGGCCCAACCUUGUUCCACUCUGUUGCCGCCGUCCUUCCAUUUCCUUUUUUUCCAUCCAAAACUUUCACCCCCAGUCUUUCCUUACUCCAAUAAAAAUCUGUUUCCAAAAUCCAUCCAAAACUGUUUCCAAUUCUCAUUUUUCACGUUGAUAAUUCUCUUGCCAAACAAAAUCACUCGUGCAGUUUUCAAGAUCUGGCAUCGGACAGGAAGCCUUUUACACUGGCGAGGUAUCAUAGUUGAGCUUGAAUGAUUUUCAAAAUUGAUAGGUACCAUCCAAAUGUUACGGGGAAAUUCUGGAUGGAAUUGGCAGCAUGCUGGUGCUUAAUUACCUUGAUUUUUCUCGAAAUUCAUUUUCUGGUAGUUCCAAUGUUCGCUAAAAAAUUUGUUGAAUUGGAGUAAAUUGUUGAAGUGGAGUAAAAUUUUUGAAUUGGAGUAAAAUUUUCUGGGAGCUUAGGUGGUUUACUGCAUAUGAACAGAGUAAAAUUGUUGAAUUGAGGGAUUAGGUUCAAGAUUGUGUUGGAUGCUGUUGAGAGGAACGAGUAUUUGCAAUGGCGAGGCAUGGCUAUUGUUGAGUAUUUUUUGGGGAAGAAGAUGAAUUAGGUUGGUUGGGGUGGGGCAGGGGUGAGGUGGAGUUAAUUGUUUGAAUACUCACUGAACUUUAAAGGGCGCCACGUUUCACUCACUGAAUUUUACUUUGCACCCAAUUACUCACUGAACUUUGGAAGGGCGUCACAUUUCACUCACUGAACUUUACUUUGCACCCAAUUACUUACUGAACUUUGUAAACUUGCACUUCAUCACUCAUCAGGUUAAAUAGUUAAUUGUUUGAAUACUUACCGAACUUUACAAGACGUCACAUUUCACCAACUCAACUUUACUUUGCACCCAAUUACUCACUGAACUUUGUAAAUUUGCACUUCAUCACUCACCAGGAACCGUUUGUUCUGUUUGCCUAUGUGGAUGACGGCUUUAACACGUGGCAGUUAAAUUUGACAAACAUAACAAUGAAUUGCCAAAUCAUAUAUCCAAAAGGACCCAAUUAUGCCUCACCGUUUUCAACACAUAAAUCGCGAUUGGAACCCUAAUCUCUUAAAAUAGGCUGC